RNAcentral lists this long non-coding RNA (2977 nucleotides) under Acanthaster planci (crown-of-thorns starfish). Its description in RNAcentral is "uncharacterized LOC110975853". The record is from RNAcentral. Lineage: Eukaryota; Metazoa; Echinodermata; Asteroidea; Valvatida; Acanthasteridae.
GCGCUUUAUAUUGGACAGAAAACGCAAUGGCGGGACGGACGAGUGUUGACCACCAGGAACGUGAGACGAAAAGGGUUUGUGCACGGGGUGUCAAGUGGCGUCUGUAACACCCUACGUGUAUAUGGAACUCCUUCCACCUGUUCAUCCCGAAAUACCUGGAAAUCAUCCAGUUACCGAUACUGGAGUUUACUACCAGCUUUGAGUAUUGCCUUGUGAUCUGACCUCCAAGCUCACCAUCGUAGUACACCACACACCUCUCCAUGUCACCAUGCUGUCUGCUUGGAUGUCAAGGAAUUCCUGCUACAUCAUCACAAGUUUUUAGGUCAACCUGACCUUGAGGGAUGGCAUAAUACCCCUGGCAUUGGGUUGGCGUUGCUUGGUGCCUGCAUUCACUGUUUAUACGUGUUGGCACAAGUCUUGUGGGACAAGGUUAAUGGACAGUCAAUUGGAGGGCAACUUUAGCAGAUUCAGACAGCUGACUGCAGAUCAUCAAACCCUGGAAAAUCCAUUGGACAUUGCGGUACCAAUUCCAUUAUGUGAUCAGUAAUCAUGGAUCAGACACCAUGAGAGACGAUGUACAUGUACAUGUCAUUUGGUGGACAUGGACUGCAUCCAGGUUCCCCAAUUCACUCAGUCAGUGGAACAUAUCCUCCAAAGGAAGACAGCCCCGGUGAAAUGACUCCUCGAAUGGAACUCACAGGAGACAGUCUAAUGGAACUCAUAGGAGACAGCCAGUCACACAGCAUGGAACUCAUUACUCUAGAAGGACAGAUGAACCCCUCUACAUGUAUUAAGUUUGCUGUUAAUUUCCUGCUGUUGGACUGGUCAGCCACUUUUAAAGCCCUUUGCUCUGUCCAAGACACAAGUUUUCAUUUCAAUAUUGGAUUCUGUUAAAGAUGCACAUUCGCUACAUGUACAUGUACAGUACAUGUUCAUCAGCCAAUUUGCGUUUACAUUGUAACUUUCAUCACUGCAUGACUGCUGGUACAAGACUGUAUGAAGAAAGCCUGUGACUUGGGAUAAUUGGAAAUGGCAUUUGACAUCGAGCAGUGUACAUGUACAGUAUGUACACCGCUUUCCUUUCACGAAGGAUCAGUACGUCACUGCGGACUGCUGUAAUAAGAUGCCAGGAACCAAUUGCAUCAGACAUCUAGAAUUCUACAUGGAUUGCAAUCUCAGAGCAGGUCACUGGAACUGAGUUUCAGAAAGUGACUUUUCUGGAUCCAGUUGACUUCCAACCCUGUCCCCUCAGUGCCACAUCUUUGGAUCUAAACUUGAAGUUACUUGAGGACUUGUGGACAACCUCAGCACAUGAACAAUGCUGGACACUUCUACUUGUAAAAUGAAGGACUCUGGAUAUGUUUUAAUUAUCCAAGGCACAGAAUGUGUCAUGACAUUGACAGUGUGCAAUUGGAAAGCAUUUAACCAGCCCCCCUGCAGAAUAUCUGAUCUCAAAAAAAUUGAAAUUUGUUGAAAUUUGAUAUUUACUUGUCGGUAAAAGUGAAGAUGUUUUUAAUAAGUUUAAUUUUCAGUUGCUAGAGAGAACAUUUGGUAAUGUAUAGAAUAACUGAAAUGCACAUAAAAGUAUUCAGAAAAUACCCAAAACUCUUCUGAAAAUUUAAACAAUUUUAAUCUAAAAAGUCUGACUACUAACACAUACUGCUGCAAGGAAAUACAUGUAAGCUGAAAAAACUCCAAAUUAUUAUUUUGACACUAAUCUUUAAAACCCUGCAGCAUUCUUAUGGGGGCUGGUUACCUGAAUGGUAUUCAUUACUCUCAAUGAGUACAUUUGGCUGGUAGUAUGCCUGUUGGGGGACUGGGUACUAGAUUGGUAAACAACACUUUGUUAUCAAUGGUCAACAGUCACCACAGUGUACAAACUGUCUCUGGAGAAAAAACGCUUUUCAUUCUUGGUGUCAGACUGUGGAGUUGCACAUUGCUUCUUCAUGGGCAUUCUCUUCAAGUAUAACAACCUGAUAUUUCUAUAUUACUGUAUUGUUGAUUUUGCAAUGUUUCUCUGGUUUAUAGUUGAAAGUAUUUGAUGCACAUGAGGUGUUUCUGAGUUUCCUCAAAAAUAUACCCAAACCACAUCAUUUGAAAAUUGACAAAUUCCUCAAACAUUCAAUGUUUACCAAUCUCGUGCCCAGCAUCUUGAGUAUAAUCAGCACUGGCACACAUCCAAAUCAUGUCGUGUAAUAGUUUUAUUCUGAUUACGAAUGCUUAGUAUUCAUUUACAUGUACAGUGCGAGCAACAUCAGACCAUGAGAAGAUAGUUUACUCCUUCGAACCAUGCAUGAACCACUGAAGUGCUAGUAAAUUUAGCUUAAAGAAACUUAAACUUAUUGCUCUUACGUGUACCGGUAGGUUUUUUUCAGAGCUGCAUGCACAUUUUUUUUCUUGUUAGCCAAUACGGGCAAUUCACAAUGCAGAGCACCAACACGAAUUUGCCAUGGAGAGGCCUUUCAUCGCAGUGCAUUGUGGGAAAACAUUGACACAGGCCUAUCCACUUAUUACUGUGCUGCGGGCGUGAAAUUUGAUUUCUUCUGAAAGUUUGUCUUGUUUGAAAAGGUUUAUUCAGUGCGAGUAACACUUAUCAAAAGGGGCAUUUUCGUGAUUAAAAAAAUGCUCAGUACAUUCCAACGUACACCUUAUCGCUAUAGACCGCCAUAUUUGUGUCAAUCGAAAAGUUGAAAAAUGGCCUUCCGUUGGCAAACUUUUGGUGGUGCACUGCACUGUGAAUCGCCCGUAUUGAAAGUGCUGUGUCCACAAACUUCAGUGAAUUUCUACUCUCCAACAGUCACAAUCUCCACUCACAUCUAACUCAGUCAAAUUUAGGUGUGUGGUAAAGACAAGUCCUCUUCAGUUGAAUGCUCCAUUAACAAGAAGAUUAUUGCGUGUCACUUGAUCAGGUUUUUAUGUCUUUCAAAAUCUACCAAUAAUAUUCAAAGCAUACAUGUUCAUUAACGGUGUAUAACUG